This 152-nucleotide ribosomal RNA is filed under the name Heterorhabditis sp. EPNKU24. RNAcentral describes it as "5.8S ribosomal RNA". The record is from RNAcentral. Lineage: Eukaryota; Metazoa; Nematoda; Chromadorea; Rhabditida; Heterorhabditidae.
CAGCUUAUGUGUUGGAUCGGUUGAUUCAUAUAUGUUUGAACAAGGCCGCUAGAUGCGUUAUAUACCACGAAUUGCUAUGGAAUUGACUGGUCAAAUUUUGAUCACCUACCGCCAUAGGGUUUAUUCUGUGCAACACCUGGUUAAGCGUUGUA